GUAUAGAUUAUAGGCACAGGGCCUGUUACAUUCUAUAACAUACAUUAAGGAGUAUAUGAAGAAACAUAGGCCUGAAAUUGCAAGGAAAGACUGAAAAGUCAAUUCCUCAAAACCUGACUUGCCCAGUCAGAAGGAUUAUUCAGGUCUACAAAAGAUGCACAGGUGGAGAGAUAUAAAAAUGACGAGUGUGCACAAUGCUCCCUAGAGAACCAGCAGCAACUCAUCAGGUUUAUUUUCAAUAAUGAUCCUUCCGCAGGUUCACCUACGGAAA
RNAcentral lists this unclassified non-coding RNA (271 nucleotides) under uncultured fungus. Its description in RNAcentral is "sequence contains ITS1". Lineage: Eukaryota; Fungi. The record is from RNAcentral.